UGCGUUGGCACAACUACGGUAGUUUUAUUUUAUAACUAUUAGUAAAUUUAUAGUAUUAUAUAACUCAUAAGAUGUAUUCUCUGUCCGAACUAGUAAUAAUAUUAACAUUCACAAGGCAGAAAAAUAGCAGAUGUAGCAGAUGGAAAUUUGAACUUGAUUUUUAAGAUUUCUACAAAGCAAAUAUUGGCAUGUGGGUAGACGGGGGACGUUUUAAAAAUCUUUAGUUUUUUUCAAAACUGUCAGCCAUGGAGUUUUCAAGAGUUUUCCGUUUACAAGUAGAAAAGGUUAUGACAAGCGGAGUCGUUUUGAUGGAGAUGGAGUUUUUAAUGGAGUCGCGCAUGGAAGUUACGUCAUGAUAAGUGGAACCACGUAUAGAACUUGUAAUAUUAAAGAAGCACGACACAAAACUGUAGAUCUCUGAAUUUUUGAAAACUCAUACUUGAAGUAGCGAACAUGGAGUUUCUUAUUUUAAGAAAUGCAUUCUACUAAUUCUGAAGUUUCAAAAAGUCAUAUUUGAAGUAGCGUACAUGGACUUUCUUAAUAUAAGUUGUCUAUUCAAGCUGCUCAUCUACACGAGUAAAGAAAAAUAUACAAUUCAAAGAUAAAAGAGAUAAAAAUGGUAUAGGAUAUAAAUAUCGAUGUAAAUAGUGUUAAUAAUAAUGAUGGCACUAGAAUGGAAUAGUAAUAUGGCAGAGUUUGUAAAUAAUGAAAGUGAAAGCGCAUUUGAAAGGGUAUUCAAAGAGAAAGUGUAUUAAAGCCAGUUAAGGUACUAAGUAGAAACUCAGAAUGUGUAGAAAUAAUCUUGGCGUUUCUGACUUGAAGAAGUAUUUACAGUUGAGGUUAUUAAUGAACAAACGAAAAACAUUUUAUUAGCAUUUGCUAUCAACUUACUAGCUGUUGCUAUCAACCACCGGAUUGAGCUAAAUUUUAAGCAUGUUCUUACCAAAAAAAUUGUACUAAAAUGUUAUAAUAAAAUGUAAUAACGUGAAAAAGAAAGUUUUUCGUUUUGGAAAACUUGAAUUGUUUGAUUUUUAUGAUUAUGCAACGAUUUCUGAAUUUGAAGCAAUUCCAUUAAUAGAUUGUCCUAGCCCAGAAUAACAAAAGAUUCUGAAAGUCCGCAGUAUUAUUACCAUUGACAUCUUUAACAAUGAUUUGAAAAUAGGCAAUACGAGAAAGUAUUUAAAAACGGAUACAACUGGAAUAUUACUAAAUUAGCAGAAAACAAAAAACUUAAACACUUUGCGAAAAGACUCCAGCGCUUAACCACAAGGUUCAAGCACUUAGUCACAAGACACAAGCACUUAGCCUCAAGAUUCAAGCACUUAGCCACAAGAAUAUUUUCAAAAAAAUUUAUUUUAUGAUUUUUUUAGUACCUAUUGAUAAAUUUCAAUAAAUUUAAGUUUAUUUUUCAAAUUAAUUAUCUUCCAAAUUUUCAUUUGAUAAAACUUUUCAGCCUUUUCAGUCAAACAGUUUAGUAAUAAAAAAAAAAAGCACAAUGAAAUAAGUUUACGAAAUAAAUGGAAUUAUUGGUAAUAGUUGCAACAAACAGUUGUUCUUUUUUGAAGUUUUUAGAACUUCAAUUUAUCAAGAAAUUUUCCCUAAACAUUUAAAAACUGUCAGAGUUACCUCCUGAUAAUAAAUAAGACGACAGAUUAAAAACCAUUAAUUAUCGUCCUAACUGCAAACUUUUUUAAGUUUAGAAAGAGCUGUGUUUAACAAAAUGUAGAACGAUUUAAAUUACAAUAUCUUACUUUAUAAUAAUCACUAUGCUUUAAAAAAAAAGUAGUUUAACUGAACAUGUAGUUGUUUAAUUUGUACAUAAUAUCUUCAUAUCUUUUAUCAAUAUAUAUAUAUAUAUAUAUAUAUAGCGUUUUUGAUUAUCUAUCAAAAGUUUUUCAUUAUAACGCAUUCUUUGGUUUAUUUAUUGAUUUAAAUAAUUGGUUUAUAGGAUAGUUUGAAAUCUAUUUAUCAAAUCGUAAGUAAUUUGAGUAUGGGUAUGAUGGACGUCAAAUGUGAAAAAUUUAAAUGAUGGUCAGACGUCAAUGUGAACUCUUAAAUUCAAAUGACAGUGAUCCACAAGUUUCUGAUCACUGCUUUAAUCUAUGUAAAAAACAUGAACAAAACUUCUAAACUAAAAAAGCAUGAUAUUUGCAGAUAAUGCUAAUCUUUUCCACAAAAAUACUAAUCUCAUAUUGAUUACUUCAUUAAAAAAAAAAAUCAACUCACACUGAUUCAUGAAUAUGAACGAAACAAAACUAUUUACGAAAUAAAUACUAUUUUUGAUUCUUCUUCAAAAAAUAUUUUCUACCAAACAAUAUGCAAGAAAAAUCUAUAGAAAAAAUUGUAAUAAAGUUUAUUUUAGUGAGAAUAUUAGUUGGACAUAUUGACUCCGUUUUUAUAAGCACCAAAGUUUCUAAAAAUACAUUUUAUAUAAAACCCGUAGUAUUUAAUGUUACCUGUUAGCUACAACAUUGUUAUAAUAAAAGUAUAAAGAUAUGUUAUAAAAAAAUUGUAUCUGAAUUAAUAAUCUAGGAGCUGGCGAUGAAAAACAUUUGUUUGUAAGCAUUUUGUCAUAUUUUCCCCUUCAACAUCGCUGAAGGCAAACAAGUGAGCAGAAUAUUUUUCACAAGUAAGAAAUUUGUCACAAAAUACCUAAUGAUGACGAAGUUUUAUAAUGUUUUUCAAAUAUAAUUUAUUCAGCAUGUAAUAAAGCAAAAAUCACUGUAUCCUGAACAUGAAACUCCAUUUUUAACUAAACUGCUACACUUUCAUUUUUAGCUAAACACUUCCAAACAGAUUUUUUCUUAUCAACAAUAUUGUAACUAAAAAUACCAUUGUAAUUUUUCUUGUAUAUAAAAUGCUAAACUUUCAAAUGUAAAAGAACAAAGAAUAUAAGUUUUAACUAAUUCUUAAAAGAAAUCCGAUGCCAUCUCACAGCAUUAGCGUAAUUGGUAUCGUUUUGCAAAUGAGUACGCAAUAUUAUUAAAAUUUCUGAUUGAAGAAGCCAAUUUUUUAGAAAUACAAGUGUUUUGCUUUAUAAAGUAAACACCUUAAAUAUCGUAGUGGUGAAUAUUCAUUAAUAGGCCGAGCAUAAUGGAGCAUAAAAUGAAACUUUUUUGUAAAAUUAUUUGGAAAAAGGUGAACAAAAUUUUGCAAAAACUAGUCCACUAAAAAUUGAAUAUACGGUAAUACAGCUUUGAAUAUACGGUAAUACAGCUUUGAAUAUACGGUAAUACAGCUUUGAAUAUAUAGUAAUACAGCUUUGAAUAUACGGUAAUACAGCUUUGAAUAUACGGUAAUACAGCUUUGAAUAUAAAGUAAUACAGCUUUGAAUAUACGGUAAUACAGCUUUGAAUAUACGGUAAAACAGCUUUGAAUAUAAAGUACCGUAGAUGGGGGUAACUAAAGUCUACGGGGAAACUAAAGCCAUUAUAGCAGGUAAUUUUUGGAUGGUGAUAGUGGCAGCACUGUUUGGAUUCAACAGCUGAUGUUGUGUUCUUCUAAUAGGAACUUGGACUGCUUUCCAAAUACUUGUCUGGAUUAUUAAAACAAUAUCACG
Molecule: non-coding RNA, 3559 nt
Organism: Hydra vulgaris (swiftwater hydra)
Lineage: Eukaryota; Metazoa; Cnidaria; Hydrozoa; Anthoathecata; Hydridae
Source: RefSeq, a predicted model, not a curated record